RNAcentral lists this ribosomal RNA (303 nucleotides) under uncultured bacterium. RNAcentral describes it as "bacterial SSU rRNA". It matches the Rfam family "Bacterial small subunit ribosomal RNA", at positions 355 to 674 of the family's 1533-position model. The record is from RNAcentral.
UGGGGGAUAUUGCACAAUGGGGGAAACCCUGAUGCAGCAACGCCGCGUGGGUGAAGGAGCGUUUCGGCGCGUAAAGCCCUGUCAGCGGGGAAGAAGAAAGACGGUACCCGACCAAGAAGCCCCGGCUAACUACGUGCCAGCAGCCGCGGUAAUACGUAGGGGGCGAGCGUUAUCCGGAAUUACUGGGUGUAAAGGGAGCGUAGACGGUGAGGUAAGCCUGAAGUGGAAGCCCGCGGCCCAACCGCGGAACUGCUUUGGGAACUGUUUUGCUGGAGUAUGGGAGGGGUAAGCGGAAUUCCUGGU